AGAGUUUGAUCCUGGCUCAGGACGAACGCUGGCGGCGCGCCUAACACAUGCAAGUCGAACGAGCGAGAGAGAGCUUGCUUUCUCGAGCGAGUGGCGAACGGGUGAGUAACGCGUGAGGAACCUGCCUCAAAGAGGGGGACAACAGUUGGAAACGACUGCUAAUACCGCAUAAGCCCACGGGUCGGCAUCGACCAGAGGGAAAAGGAGCAAUCCGCUUUGAGAUGGCUUCGCGUCCGAUUAGCUAGUUGGUGAGGUAACGGCCCACCAAGGCAACGAUCGGUAGCCGGACUGAGAGGUUGAACGGCCACAUUGGGACUGAGACACGGCCCAGACUCCUACGGGAGGCAGCAGUGGGGAAUAUUGCACAAUGGGGGAAACCCUGAUGCAGCGACGCCGCGUGGAGGAAGAAGGUCUUCGGAUUGUAAACUCCUGUUGUUGAGGAAGAUAAUGACGGUACUCAACAAGGAAGUGACGGCUAACUACGUGCCAGCAGCCGCGGUAAAACGUAGGUCACAAGCGUUGUCCGGAAUUACUGGGUGUAAAGGGAGCGCAGGCGGGAAGACAAGUUGGAAGUGAAAUCCAUGGGCUCAACCCAUGAACUGCUUUCAAAACUGUUUUUCUUGAGUAGUGCAGAGGUAGGCGGAAUUCCCGGUGUAGCGGUGGAAUGCGUAGAUAUCGGGAGGAACACCAGUGGCGAAGGCGGCCUACUGGGCACCAACUGACGCUGAGGCUCGAAAGUGUGGGUAGCAAACAGGAUUAGAUACCCUGGUAGUCCACACCGUAAACGAUGAUUCCUAGGUGUUGGAGGAUUGACCCCUUCAGUGCCGCAGUUAACACAAUAAGUAAUCCACCUGGGGAGUACGACCGCAAGGUUGAAACUCAAAGGAAUUGACGGGGGCCCGCACAAGCAGUGGAGUAUGUGGUUUAAUUCGACGCAACGCGAAGAACCUUACCAAGUCUUGACAUCCUGCGACGGUGCUGGAAACAGUGUUUUCCUUCGGGACGCAGAGACAGGUGGUGCAUGGUUGUCGUCAGCUCGUGUCGUGAGAUGUUGGGUUAAGUCCCGCAACGAGCGCAACCCUUAUGGUCAGUUACUACGCAAGAGGACUCUGGCCAGACUGCCGUUGACAAAACGGAGGAAGGUGGGGAUGACGUCAAAUCAUCAUGCCCCUUAUGACUUGGGCUACACACGUGCUACAAUGGCGUAAACAAAGGGAAGCGAGCCUGCGAGGGGGAGCAAAUCUCAAAAAUAACGUCUCAGUUCGGACUGCAGUCUGCAACUCGACUGCACGAAGCUGGAAUCGCUAGUAAUCGCGAAUCAGAAUGUCGCGGUGAAUACGUUCCCGGGUCUUGUACACACCGCCCGUCA
This 1369-nucleotide ribosomal RNA is filed under the name uncultured bacterium. RNAcentral describes it as "bacterial SSU rRNA". It matches the Rfam family "Bacterial small subunit ribosomal RNA". The record is from RNAcentral.